RNAcentral lists this ribosomal RNA (267 nucleotides) under uncultured bacterium. RNAcentral describes it as "partial 16S ribosomal RNA". It matches the Rfam family "Bacterial small subunit ribosomal RNA", at positions 88 to 353 of the family's 1533-position model. The record is from RNAcentral.
CGACUUAGCGGCGGACGGGUGAGUAACGCGUGGGUAACCUGCCUUACACUGGGGGAUAACAGUUAGAAAUGACUGCUAAUACCGCAUAAGCGCACAGGGCCGCAUGGUCUGGUGUGAAAAACUCCGGUGGUGUAAGAUGGACCCGCGUCUGAUUAGGUAGUUGGUGGGGUAACGGCCCACCAAGCCGACGAUCAGUAGCCGACCUGAGAGGGUGACCGGCCACAUUGGGACUGAGACACGGCCCAGACUCCUACGGGAGGCAGCAUG